CCCAUCGAUGACGAUGAGCUCGUCUCCUACAUCACCGCUGGCCUCUACAUGGAGUACCAGCCCCUCGUCUCCGCCAACGACGCCCGCACCGACACCAUCAACCUCGAUGAUCUCUACGCUUAGAUGAGCAACUUCGAUC
This is a non-coding RNA of Triticum urartu, 139 nucleotides long. Lineage: Eukaryota; Viridiplantae; Streptophyta; Magnoliopsida; Poales; Poaceae. The record is from Rfam.